GAGGCAAAGAGAAGUUGCGGGAGAAACAACAAACGAGAUCAUUAUGUAAAAAAAUUCCGGCCAUGAUUCGACAUAUCGGUGGUAGGGUUUUCUUCCUCUCUUCCUCCUCUUCAAUUUUGUGGCUUUGCGUGUUCAAAUCGAGCUCUAAUUUGAAUUCUCUCUUUUCUCUAUCUGGUCGGGAUUCUUCUGCUCUUUUUCCGGCGACCUGAGUUUUUGGCGUUUCCGGCCUCUCCUCUAUGUUUCGACGGGCUAGGCUACUUCCUGGUGGACCCGACAACCGAGUGGAGGAGGUGAGUGGAGUUUGGUUACGGAUGGAGUUUAUCGGGUCGGGACUGUGAGAGGCAGAGGGCUGCAGGUCGGAAUCCGGCGAGGAAGUUACUGCCGGCUAGAGGGGUUUGGUUACUCGGUUGAAGGUAAUCUCUCUUGCUUUUGGAAUUGAAGGAUUGUAAAGGCUGUGGUGAUCCUCUAGGACAGCAGAGAUCACCUCUUGGCAAGGUGUCGAGUCUGAAAGGUGUUAGGAACGGGAGCAGAAGAAGAGCUUGAUCAUGGAGCAGAGGUUGUUGCCAAAAUCAAUUUGGGUGCGGAAUUUCGAAAGCAAGAAUUAGGGAAAGGAAUGUUGGAUGAGCCAAGGAAGUGUAAUUGUAGCAAAGGUUGUUUGUGAGAGUAAAGAGUAAAUUCUUGGGUGUAGAGAGUAAUCUGGUUG
This is an RNA transcript of Fragaria vesca subsp. vesca, 703 nucleotides long. RefSeq lists it as uncharacterized. The record is from RefSeq and is a predicted model, not a curated record. Lineage: Eukaryota; Viridiplantae; Streptophyta; Magnoliopsida; Rosales; Rosaceae. The transcript has 3 exons.